UUAUUUUAGGCAGUUUGCUUUAUAAAGCAAGUGGUUUUACUUAUAAUAACAAUUAUUCCCCAAUGCGAUAAAAAUGAAUAUUUUGAACAGAAUCAAAUUAUUAUAUUAGGAUUAAACAUCAAUAUGAACAAAAUGGACUAUACGAGUACAAGGUAAAAAUUUAUUCCAAAUUAAUACAGUUUUACAAGAAGAAACGAUGUGGAUUUUGUCGUUCAGUGAAUAAGUUAGUUAAUAUUAGUAGCAUUUCUUCAAACUCAGGAGACUUUUAGUGAUCUUUUAGUAUUGUUGAAAUACCAAAGGAUGCGCCCAAUAAGACAUUUUAUGAGCGUAAAAUGCAAAAGCAAUAUAUUUUCUGCGUCUAAAGGAUGAAACAAUGUUAUCAAACAAACAAACAGACCGUCAUAACUCUUAAUACGUUAUAUUAACAAUCUACAGACAACCACAAUAUUAUUUUACAUGAAGGUCAGAAGAACUAAAACGCGGUCAUCAGCCGAAAGAGAUUGUAAAAGAAUCUAUGAUUUAGUCAAUCGAAAUCUUUCGACUGAGCUGACACAUAUAUAGAAAAGUUAAGUUUGUUUUGGAAUAAAUAAGUACCUAAGUACCAUUCCCCAUUGGAUUCUAGAGUUCACUGAAAGGCAAGAUUUUUUUAUCACGGAAAUAUGGCACCAGAGACAAGAUUUAAGAAAAAGAGUCAAAGAAACCUACGUAAGAGAAUUAUGAGAUAUGCACUCAAACGGUUUUCAAAGUUUUUUCCAGAAAGUAAUUAUUCUAUUCCGCCAGUUUUAUUAUCCUGAAAAUAAAGUUAUUCAUAAACCUCAAUCAUAUACUCGAUGCUAUGUAAUACAAAAGCUAUAUAUACUCUAUAAUAAACAUUAUUA
Long non-coding RNA from Sitophilus oryzae (rice weevil), 878 nucleotides. RefSeq lists it as uncharacterized. NCBI's taxonomy places the organism in Eukaryota, Metazoa, Arthropoda, Insecta, Coleoptera, Curculionidae. The transcript is spliced from 4 exons. The record is from RefSeq and is a predicted model, not a curated record.